CGGGCUUAGGAUCGCGAACAGUUUGAAGGGGCACACUCAGACUGGACAGCCUAUAUAGAUAUCCCCUCCAGACGACGAGGAGACUCGACGAGUGAUCCAGGAGAAAGCCUCUCGUUCGAUUGGCCACCACGAACCGUUAUCUUCGACAAGCUUGCAACGAAAAAAUAUGUUCAAAAGAAAGAAAAAAAGAUGAAGAGAAGAAAAACGAAGAGAAAGAAACGUCUCGCGAGCUAAUUUUAAUGGACGUGUUUCCACGAUGGUGUGUACAGGAACGCCCUCAGAGGAUAAAUGAAAGAGAAGAAACGAUGGAUUACUGUGUUGGAUGUAAUUGAUCACGAAGACAAUGGAUUCCCUCUAUUUAUGACAAUAUCGUCGAUCUCGUCGGUUUGGGUAUCGACGGCGGGUGAAAGCAAGGCAGAAUAUACAUUCCUCCACGGUGUCCAGGCCUCUACUAGUGCUUUUUCCGUGUAAUUACUUUAAUAAUUCGUAUCGACUUCCAGUGGGAACUCCUUUCGCUGGACACGCAAGUUGGCUCGUUUCUUGGUCUCUAUAUUUGCUAGGUAUACACAACUAUCGAUUGAACGUGGAAUUUAGGACAACUUCGUUUACUUUUCCUUACGUAAUUAAUUUGUUUUUACGUGUUAUUAAUAUAUUCGAAAUCCAUCCGGAAAUAUUGUUUUAAUCUUAAUUAUAAGUUUAUUUUAGGAUAUUAUUUGUUGGAAGAUCGCAUUUAUAAUUACGUAGAUAAUUAUUGGAAUCUUAUGUGAUGAAACUUCCAUUUUCUUCGUUAUCUUGCCCGAAGGAGAAAAAGAAGAACACAAUUUGUCGCUACUCCGGGGAAACACUAAGGGAAGUAAUGAAAUUAUAGAGGAUUCUCGCCGGAUGGCAAACAUGACCGAGAAAUUCUCGAAAGACUUGGCUCGAUCAUUUUUAGAAGCAUUAUUGGUUCAGAGAUAUUGUUACAAGAAAAAAAAAUAACCCUGUUUAUUGUAAAUUUAAUUUAUUUGUUCAAUGUCGAGCAAUCGUUGCGAUUAUUCUAACCUCGAAAAAUAUUCUAACCUCAAAUUCCACGCAUUUCUAUCUCAAUUAAAAUCCGUUAAAUGUAACAAAGAGAGAGGCAUUCGCCUCUCGAAGAAUCUUAAGUUUAAUUUAAGUAAUAUCGAAGCGUGAAGUUAAAAAAAAAAAGAAACACAAGAAUGUUAAUCUCUUCGAUUCGAAUUGCAAAUUAUGUUAUUAUUUUGUAUCACACGCCAUUCCCAUCGAUGAAUUGUAUCGAUUAUAAUCGAUUCUCUCUGUAUGAAGAUUAUUCUCGCGUAUCGACUCGUUUUAAACUCGAUUAAAAUUAGAAUUAAUAACUGUCUUGAGCGAAGCGUAUUGCACAGGCUUUAUCGUUUUACCGCGAGCGGAAGCAACAGUUAAGAUUAAUUAUUCUUUAUGGCAGGCUCGUAAUCGUACGUCUUCUAAUAAAAAUAUUUAUUUAAUUCUACUUCUAUUAUUGUUUAAAGAAGAAGAGUGAUUUAAUUUUGUUUUCGCAUUUGAUUUAUCCAACCUCAAAGAAUUAUUAUUCCAUUGAUCUGUUAUCAUUAAAAUAUGUGCAAGAUGUGCUUUAAUUCUUUUAAAAGAACAAAAUUGAAAGAACAGAAUGAGUCACGGUGAAAGAUACUUUCUAAAACUGAUGCUUCUCACAUUUAAAAUUUUUACACAGUUUUUAACUCGCGUUAUUAUUUAUAUAUAAAAACAAAAUCUACCUUAGAUCCAUCUUAGAAUUUCUAUUCCAAAAAGAGAAAAACUGGAACAUCCUUUUUUUACAAUCCAACAAAAUAACCACGACUGUCUAUUAAUUAAAAAAAUAUAUAAAAUAUUAAAGAUAAACAAAUAUGCCUAUUCAUAUCAUCAUCAAUUUCCAUAAGUUAUUACAUUAGAAUAAUCAGAAAGAGAAAAAAAAAAAAGAAAAAAAAAGAUAUCGACCGAGCAAGAUUUAUCUACUGAAUUUUUCAAAACGCGUCCAAUUUCCGUCGCGCGAGCAACGUAGGCGUGCAUUUGUUAAAUCGUGAAAAAGAAGAGACGUUCCACUUUUGUUUUUUCCACUAUUUGAAACACGGUGUAACGGGGUUACCGCGAUCGUUGUUUCUUCCCUAUCGUAAGCGUGGAGGAUAGAACGUGGACGAGAUUAGAGAAGGAAUCGGGAAGAGAGGAGAUCGGUACACGCGUGCAAGGUGAGGACAACGUGGCGUGGAUGAGCAAUGAACUUGACCGGAAGUAGGUCAGGGUAAACAAACCUUCCUCGUGCUCAAUGAGCAUCUUCGCAGUAACCGUGAUCUUUCGAGUAUGACCGAUCUAACGAGUAAGCUCGUAAAAUUAACGAUUAAUUUAUUCUUAAUCUAUCGAGCGACUGUUACAUGUAUUUAUCUUUAAUAUUUUUUUUUUUCGAGAAUAAUACAUUUAUUUCUUCUCGUAUUCGAGCGACACGUAACAAAAAUUGAUCCACUUUCGAACGUACGAGACACCUUUCACGUAUUUAUUUACUAUCUUUCUCGCCGGCCAGCUCAAAAAUUACAGCGACACGACAACUUCUUGCACGCAACGAGAUCUCGUGUAAUGGAAAGUACACAAUAAUUUAUCUAUAAUAUAUCCCUUCGUCAUUUCGUUAUUAUAUUAUAUACAUCAUUAAUAAAUCGUUAUUAUAUUAUAUACAUCGUUAAUAAAUCAUUUGAAACACUCUAGGAGGAAGUUUCCGUUCCAAAGAUGUAUUGGACAGCUUGGUUAUAAUCGUUAUAGAAGAAACGAAUGUUGCCCGACGAUGAUCAGGUUUGUGAAUGCGCGAGGUGUUUUAUCGACGUGCGCGAAUCGUAAUAAAGAAAAGUCUCGCGAAAGAAAGAAAGACACACGCGUGAAGAAAGAAACUUUGGUGAGAAAGUUGAGUCGGGCGGGACCUCUGGCUACCUAUAAAGGUCGGUCGGUAUAACAAUGCUAAACUUUAAACUUCUCCUCUAAUGGAAUCGAUCCACUCUGUUACGUCUCCCCCCACUCCUGCCUCCUUCCCCUUCCCCUCCGCCUCCCGUAACCAGAGUUUACACGGCUAGAGUUCGGCUAACGAAAUUCGGUGCGAUGCGCAAUGAAAAAGUGGAUCACGUAACCGUGGAACCUUCUACUUGGAAUUUUAAUUCGCGUUACGUCACGCGCCCGUUCGAUUGAAAAACGGGGCAAUUAAAAACGGAAAUAGGGAGUGAGAUAUAAAUUAUGAAUCUUUUAAGCGAGAUUUUUACGUUCUUUUUUUCUUUUUGUAACAUUUCUACGCGACUUGAUUCUCAUCUCUUUUACGUAGAACGAAAGAAAACAGAAUCAUAAUUGUUUCGAGAGUUUGUUAGGAAGAGAGAAUCCAUUUUUAUUUUUUUUUUUUCUUUUGGGAUGUUGAUUUUUGAAUUGUCGUUCGUUCUCCGUCGCGUAGGCGAAGCGGUGGGUGUGGAAAAGUGGGUAUAGAAUUUUUGUUGGAUUAGCAUUCCAUUACACGCGUUUGCGGAAAGUUCGCGAAGAAUUCUGAGCAUCCAAGAUUUUAUGAUUUCCAUCGGUGGCCGAUUCGUGGCUUUCAUUAAACUUUUGCGCCUGAUAAAUUUCGAAUGUCGCGUGUCGAGUCGAUUUUUACGAACGAACGAACAGUUUCUUUGUUUCUUCUUACGUGUAUUGUACGAGUUUUUCGUAUUGUCGUUAAAAAUUAAUAAAAAUAUUUUGUGUGCAUAUGUGCGUGUUUUCGUCGCAUACAUGUGUUGCAUUAAAACAGAUUGCACUUAUUAUUCGAUAAAUAUUUUUCGUGAGAAAGGUCUUGAUCCAUAUAACUUGACAUUUCACGAUAUCCACAGAGAUUAAGAUUGUAUUUAAUGCCAAUUGUACAAUUCUUUUACUAUUUUUUUUACUGUCGUUUUAAUUUGUAAUUAAUUUAGAUUACGUCAAGAUUUUAUCAAAUGAAAAAGUAUAUAAUGAAAUAAAUCGGAUAUUAGAGCCAUCUCUUAGGCGCGCAAAUUUUGCAUCGCAAAUGUAGACAAGGAGAAUAAGUAGUGAGAAAAGGACAGAGAUAGACAAAAAUAUUGAAAUCAGCGCCAUCUUCAGAGUGCCGCAAAUGAAACUUGCAAAGAAAGGAUAGAAAAUGGUAAGAGAAGGAUGGAGAUAGGAUGAGAAUUAACUGCUAGCGCCAUCUCGAGAGAAGCAACGACCUCGUUAGAGAACAAGCUUUCUAGAAAUUCUCAGAGAUGGCGCUGAUGAUCAAUUCCUAUCGUAUAUCUGUCCUUCUCUUAUUAUUUUCUAUCCUUUCUUUGCGAGUUUCAUUUGCGGCACACUGAAGAUGGCGCUGAUUUCAAUAUUUUUACCCUAUCUCUAUCCUUUUUCCAUCAUUUGCUCUCCUUGUCUAUAUUUGAUUGCAUUAUAUAUUUAUAUUAUAAUAAAAAAUUUUUAAAAUUGGACAUAAAUAUGAUACGUAAUAAUAUAGAUUAAACGCGAAUAAUAGUAUGCAAUCAAGGAAAAUGAAACAUCGAAAGAUUACUGGAAAGUAAACAAUUUAGAAAAUUACGAUUACGAGGUCAGAUGUAAAGGGAGGCAGACCGAUUUGUCGCGAUGUGUUGUCCGGCUUAAAUUGUGAAAACUGGAUCGACCAGUUCCUAUGACUAGCGCUCAUAACUUUCCAUUGAUAACUAGCUGGAUGCUUCUUCGAUAAAAUCGCGAAGUUUAUCUCGACUUUGACUUUCACUGUUCGCGCAAGGUCUAGGACAUUCACUCGGGUGAAACAGAGUUCUUCUUACAUCAAGAAAGUACUCCCUGAAAAUUUCUCGACGUUAGAUGCAAUUUGUAAAUUCAUAUUAAUGUAUUCUUUUCCAAUAAAAAAAAACGGAAUAAAUAAAUCGUUUUGGAUAUUAAAAGCUUGCUUUAUUUUUAAUUUUAUGAAUAUAACGACUCUUAUCACCUUUUGUCAUAAGUACAUUUUGUCGGAACACCGAGAACGCAGACCAAGUUCCAGAAUUCGAUCUAAACAACAGUCAUAUACAUAUAUAUAUAUAUAUAUAUAUUUAUAUAUGUAUAUAUAUUUCUUUUUUUCUUUUUAAAUAUAUAUAUUGAUAAUUACGUUUAUAUUUUUUCUUAUUUUACUUUCUUUCCUUUUUUUUUUUUUUUUUUUUUCUUUUUUUUAAUCUUUUUGUACGAUCGAGAUCACCCGAUCUGGACUUGGUCCGGACCUUCUUUGCCUCAUACAUACAUGAUU
Long non-coding RNA from Apis mellifera (honey bee), 5245 nucleotides. RefSeq lists it as uncharacterized. Lineage: Eukaryota; Metazoa; Arthropoda; Insecta; Hymenoptera; Apidae. The record is from RefSeq and is a predicted model, not a curated record. The transcript has 5 exons.